This 497-nucleotide ribosomal RNA is filed under the name uncultured bacterium. RNAcentral describes it as "partial 16S ribosomal RNA". It matches the Rfam family "Bacterial small subunit ribosomal RNA", at positions 28 to 507 of the family's 1533-position model. The record is from RNAcentral.
GAUGAACGCUGGCGGCGUGCCUAAUACAUGCAAGUCGAGCGAACGGACGAGAAGCUUGCUUCUCUGAUGUUAGCGGCGGACGGGUGAGUAACACGUGGAUAACCUACCUAUAAGACUGGGAUAACUUCGGGAAACCGGAGCUAAUACCGGAUAAUAUUUUGAACCGCAUGGUUCAAAAGUGAAAGACGGUCUUGCUGUCACUUAUAGAUGGAUCCGCGCUGCAUUAGCUAGUUGGUAAGGUAACGGCUUACCAAGGCAACGAUGCAUAGCCGACCUGAGAGGGUGAUAGGCCACCCUGGAACUGAGACACGGUCCAGACUCCUACGGGAGGCAGCAGUAGGGAAUCUGCCGCAAUGGGCGAAAGCCUGACGGAGCAACGCCGCGUGAGUGAUGAAGGUCUUCGGAUCGUAAAACUCUGUUAUUAGGGAAGAACAUAUGUGUAAGUAACUGUGCACAUCUUGACGGUACCUAAUCAGAAAGCCACGGCUAACUACGUG